AAAACAAAAACAAAAUAAACAAAGGUAGAAACUUUGAACAGGAGCUUAAAGUUUCCAAAGCGAGAUUCCUCGAAAUCUAAAACAGGAAACUAAAAUUCUACAAGGGGAGUACGAAAAUUCGCUAGAGCUUGCUCCAAUACAACAGAAAUCUUUGAGUGUGAUGAUGAUGAGUGAAAGAGAGCGAAUAAAGCAACGAGAAGAAGAAGAGGAGCUGGAGACUUGAGUGAAUUAUCAAAUGGAGAAACUUAAGAAAGAGGAGCAGAAGUAGUAGUAGAAGAAGAAGAAGAAGAAGAAUCUAUCAUCGGAAAAGAUGAGAAGAAUAUGGUGGAAGACAAAUGUCUGCUUCCUUCUCUCUCUCUCUCUCUCUAUUAUCUGAUUAUCUUUCUUUUCUUUUUUCAUUCAUACUUCCAUUAAUAUAUAUUUUAAUCUUAAGCUGCUUAUGUACUCCUAAAAAAAAUACAGAUAAAAUUCAAACACAAAAAAUUAUAUCCUGCUG
This 496-nucleotide small RNA is filed under the name Arabidopsis thaliana (thale cress). Its description in RNAcentral is "putative long intergenic non-coding RNA". Lineage: Eukaryota; Viridiplantae; Streptophyta; Magnoliopsida; Brassicales; Brassicaceae. The record is from RNAcentral.